AUAAGUGAAUAAAUCCUAAUUUUAGCAUGUCUAUUUUUUCUCACUCGUUAAGUAAAUAGAUUUUAUAUCUAUUUUAAUAACGCUUCUUGCACGCACUUUAUUAAAUAGUCGGAAUUAAUAUUAAAAUGCUCAUACAACGUUCUAAAAGGCGCUGACUCUCCAAAACCCUUCACACCAAUAAAAAUGCCAUUUGAUCCUAUAUAUUUAUGCCAGCCAAUAUCGCUUCCUGCUUCAAUUGCAACUUUUAUACUAUUAUUAUUUGA
Cinara cedri is the source of this 263-nucleotide non-coding RNA. The record is from the annotation of a GenBank genome assembly. Lineage: Eukaryota; Metazoa; Arthropoda; Insecta; Hemiptera; Aphididae.